UUGAACCGAUGAUCCAUCCACCCGGUGCCAAGUCGGGAUUAUAACUACGGUGCACCUGCAAUCUGUGGCCAAACCUCCACUGGAGAAAUCACCGAGCAUUAAACCCUAAUUCUCCCCUCCCUCUCCAAAGGAAAAAAAUGAUCAGACAGAGGUUAGGAUGGUUUGCUUUCGGUUUCACUGCGGCCUCUGCGACAAUCGGCGUCUUUGUCUACAAAGACCUUCAGGCCCAUCGCAACGCUCACUUUUCCCAAGCUAACGAGGAAUACAAUGUCCUUAAUACGAGAGUUACUAAUCUGGAACGGGUUUGCCUGAAUAAUCCCAAAUCUAAUGUCAAAUCGGGUGGUAGUGAUUUGAAAUAAUUACGUGGAGUGCUGUUUUAUUGGGACUUCAACUCAUCAUAGAUUUUGAGUGUCGACAAUUGCAAGGUUAUAUUGUUCUGGAAUUUUUUUCUGGCCAUCCUGGGUUCAUUGUACAUUAUGGCCUUAUGCUGUUUUGGUAUUUUCAGCAAUUAUUGGAUUUAAAAAGUAUAAUUUCUAAUCUGUUUACAGUUACUCUAUUUCUGGGAAUUAUAUGAUUCUGAUUUGACACUGAAAGAUAGGUGCAUAUUUUGGAAUAACAUUAGUGUAUAUGGAGGCUCUCUCUCUCUCUCCCUCUCUCCCUCUUCACUGUCUGUCUGUUUCUCUCUGUUAUUUCAUUUAUUUUUCUUUGAAUGUGGAAUUUUUGUUGGCUACUUGGUGCUUUUAAUAGAUUUAGUGAUUGACUGUUUUUGUGGGCAAUGAUGUUUUAUAUACCUUGAAUGCACUAUAAAGUUCCUCAUGUAAUUUAGUGAGCAGCCUAAAAAUUGAAAUCUAUCAUCUAUUCUGUAUCCCUACGUCGAUUUGAAUAUAUUGUUGUUGAUGCAAUAUAAAGUCUUUUGGUUAGUUUUUUGAGCUUGACAAAUUUCUUUUGUAGUCCUUUUGGAUUUAAGAAUUUGGGCACAAUUGAUUUACUAUCUUUAGCAUAGAACGCUUCUAAGUUUCAUAGAAUGUUUAAGUUUUGAUUAAGAACUUUUGAUCAAAUCCAUAGGAUUCAAUAGUACUAUUUUGAGUAAUCAUUAAAUUUAUAGAUUUUGAUAUCGAAGAUGAUUACAUUUACUUUCUUUCCCCUGAAUAAUAUGAUUUUGAUCUAACAAUGAAAGAUAGGGGCAUAUUUGACUAUAAUAUUAAUAUAUCAAAAGGCUCUCUCUCCCUCGCCUCUCCCCCCACUUUCGCUGUCUCUGUGUAUAUGUUGUAUUAAGUGUUAUAAUUUGCUUUUCUUUGAAUUCAGAGAUUUUGUUUGCUAAUCGGGGCUUUUAAUUGAUUUAGCAAGUGAAAGUUUCUAAGUGGAAACGAUGUUGUUUGGUUUUUCUUUUGACUUCUGGAUUUUUAUAGCUGUAAAUGCACUAAAAAUUUCCUCAUGUAAUUUAGGAUGUGGCCUGCUAAUUUAAAUCUAUCUUCUAUAAUGUAUCCCUACGUCCAUUUGAGUUUCUUAUAUUGUCGAUGCAAUAUGUGUGUCACUUGGUUUUGAGCUUAAUGAAUUUCUUUUGGAAUCCAUCUGCAUCGUAGGAUUUCGACACAAUUUUUUUUGAAAUAGUUGCAUUGAACACACCUAUGUUUCGUAGAAUGUGUAAGUUGCGAGCACUACUUUUCAUCAGAUCCAUAGGGAUAGGGAAUACUAUUUGACAGAUUUGGAAUUCAUAAUAAACUACUCACUUCAUAAGCUGCUUGCCAUUCUAACUCCAGUUAGUAUAUUAGAAUCCUAUUUCAAUUUUCUUGUCAUUUAACAAUGUAGUAUACAUAUUUCUUUGGAAAUCUGUCCAAAUUAAAGUCAAAUAAUGCGGAUGGAAACUUAGUUUUUCAUUCCCUGUAGAAUAAAUGUCUUUGUUGCCUCAAUUCACAGUAACCAGUGUUUAAGACUAUAUACAGAGUAUCUGUAGAAUGAGUAUCUUUUUAAGCUGUACACAUUUCUUAUGAAAAGAAUUAUAAAUGAAUAACUGAGGGGUUUGUCCCCAUUGAUGGCAUUCUAUGAAUAUAGGGUUGAUUCUAUAGAACUAUUCUUGUGGAGAAUAAAUGUGUUGAAUUGUAUCAUGUUUUCCUAAGCUAUCUAGUUGAUUUUUUCAAAAUUUGCUGGUUUGUAUAUAUCUAGCUAUAAUUUUAAAUUUAACUCUUCAACUUGAUAGCACCCCUGUGAUUCAUGUUUCUACUGUCGGUGUUGUUGUGGAGGUUGGUUGUUACUUAAAGAACUGAACUAGGUAUUGAGCCAUUAUUAGGUGCCUCAGCUGUUCCUGAUUCCAGCUUGUCUGCUGAUGUUGAAAAGGGUUUCAUAGAACCAUCUGAAGAAUGCUGGUACUGCUCAUAGUGUGCUUCAGUUGUCCAUAAUAGAAUUAAAGCCACCAUUACCGUUGACAAGAAUACCAUUGCUGCCCAGACCAUCCUUGUGUAUCGUUUUAGGGGUUUACAGUGUGUGUUUAGGAUUUCUGAAAAGGCGGUUGUUACUGUCUGACACUCAACCAGGCUUUCCAUAUCAGGAUAUUCAUUCAGUAACCUUUGUAUUGAAGUUGUGUAUAUCUCCAAUCUAUUGUAGUACUUGGUGGGAAUUACAAUUCCUCCCGUGCAACCUUGCUCAGAAUCAGGACAUGUCACCUGCUUCAAUAGCUUGAUGUAGAAAAGAAAUGGAAAAAAUGUUAGGAGAGAUUCAUGUUUCCUAAAAGUACACAUUGUUCUUUGAUCAGUUGAUUUUCAUUUCUUUAUAA
Long non-coding RNA from Coffea arabica (coffee), 2770 nucleotides. RefSeq lists it as uncharacterized. The record is from RefSeq and is a predicted model, not a curated record. NCBI's taxonomy places the organism in Eukaryota, Viridiplantae, Streptophyta, Magnoliopsida, Gentianales, Rubiaceae.